RNAcentral lists this ribosomal RNA (720 nucleotides) under uncultured bacterium. RNAcentral's name for it is "bacterial SSU rRNA". It matches the Rfam family "Bacterial small subunit ribosomal RNA", at positions 72 to 788 of the family's 1533-position model. The record is from RNAcentral.
CACGGACUUCGGUCUGGUGGCGAGUGGCGAACGAGUGAGUAAUGCAUCGGAACGUGCCAUUGAGUGGGGGAUAACGUAGCGAAAGUUGCGCUAAUACCGCAUAUUCUGUGAGCAGGAAAGCAGGGGACCGCAAGGCCUUGCGCUCUUUGAGCGGCCGAUGUCAGAUUAGCUAGUUGGUGAGGUAAAGGCUUACCAAGGCGACGAUCUGUAGCGGGUCUGAGAGGAUGAUCCGCCACACUGGAACUGAGACACGGUCCAGACUCCUACGGGAGGCAGCAGUGGGGAAUUUUGGACAAUGGGGGCAACCCUGAUCCAGCCAUGCCGCGUGAGUGAAGAAGGCCUUCGGGUUGUAAAGCUCUUUCGGCCGGGAAGAAAUCGCAUGGGCCAAUACCCUGUGUGGAUGACGGUACCGGAAUAAGAAGCACCGGCUAACUACGUGCCAGCAGCCGCGGUAAUACGUAGGGUGCGAGCGUUAAUCGGAAUUACUGGGCGUAAAGCGUGCGCAGGCGGUUUUGUAAGACAGGCGUGAAAUCCCCGGGCUUAACCUGGGAACUGCGUUUGUGACUGCAAGGCUAGAGUACGGCAGAGGGGGGUGGAAUUCCACGUGUAGCAGUGAAAUGCGUAGAGAUGUGGAGGAACACCAAUGGCGAAGGCAGCCCCCUGGGUCGAUACUGACGCUCAUGCACGAAAGCGUGGGUAGCAAACAGGAUUAGAUACCCU